UUGGACGUCCGCUCAUUUGCGCACAGGUAAGGGUGAAAAGGUGCGGUAAGAGCGCACCGGCGUCGUGGUGACACGGCGGCCAGGUAAACCCCACCGGAUGCAAGACCAAGCAGAGCCGUUUGCAGGCUGCCCGCCAAGGCUCAGGUAGGUCGCAAAGAUGGAUGACUGUCCACGACAGAAUCCGGCUUACCGGCGUACUAAGGGA
This 205-nucleotide RNase P RNA is filed under the name Actinomycetota bacterium. RNAcentral's name for it is "Actinobacteria bacterium partial RNase P RNA component class A". It matches the Rfam family "Bacterial RNase P class A", at positions 130 to 367 of the family's 367-position model. Rfam says of the family: Ribonuclease P (RNase P) is a ubiquitous endoribonuclease, found in archaea, bacteria and eukarya as well as chloroplasts and mitochondria. Its best characterised activity is the generation of mature 5'-ends of tRNAs by cleaving the 5'-leader elements of precursor-tRNAs. Lineage: Bacteria; Bacillati; Actinomycetota. The record is from RNAcentral.